Long non-coding RNA from Mesocricetus auratus (golden hamster), 630 nucleotides. RefSeq lists it as uncharacterized. The transcript has 3 exons. NCBI's taxonomy places the organism in Eukaryota, Metazoa, Chordata, Mammalia, Rodentia, Cricetidae. The record is from RefSeq and is a predicted model, not a curated record.
CCUGACCUUCACUGGGGUUUACGCCAGUUUACGACAGUUUCCUCUCUACCAGAAGUGAGAGGAGUCACAGGCUGGCUCCAACUCAACAACCGGGCUGCCAAUGUGCAGGUUGUGCAGCGAGGUCGUCUGCUCUCAGGCCCGUGUGGUUUCUGCUUGGCUGCAAGCUGAGGUGGCGAAUGUUUGCUGUUACGUCCCUACUGACCUUCUCGCUUCUGCGGUCUACGGCUGUAUAUGAACAUCCCACAAGGUCGGUACUGCUGUGACCAUUUUAGGGAUUCCACAGUGGAAGAAAAGAAACAACUUCUGAAAGUGGUCCUCUCACUUCCACACUCCUUUGAUUUCAGGAAUCUUCCUGCUUCUGUAUCCUAAGGACUGGAAUUGUGGGUGUGUGCCAUCAUAUCUGGCUCCAUGAGAUGUUUUGAUACAUGUGUCCGUUGUAUAAUGUUCAGACCAGUGUAAACAUAUUUAUCUUCUAAAACAUUAUUUCUUUCUGAUGAAAACAUUCAAAUCCCUUUGAUCCAGUUUAACAAAUAUACAGCAGAUUAUCAUAGAAAACUUUACCUAACUACAACUUUGAGCCCAUUACUUACCUCCCCCAGUCUUGCUAAUCACAUUAAUUGCUUUCUGUUU